UCUAUACAAAGAUUAGCAUGGCCCCUGCACAAGGAUGACAUGCAAAUUCGUGAAGCGUUCCAUAUUUUA
This 69-nucleotide small nuclear RNA is filed under the name Vicugna pacos (alpaca). Lineage: Eukaryota; Metazoa; Chordata; Mammalia; Artiodactyla; Camelidae. The record is from RNAcentral.